GGACAGCCUCGGGGAGCUGGCAGUUCCCCCUGCGGAGCACCGUCCUGUUCUCUGGUUGUCCCGGGGGUUCUGCAGGUGACCUGUUAGCUCUCCUGCCUCCAUCCUUCAGUGCUCUCUAUUGCAUAUAGCCAAGAGUGGGUGGUGGAAGAUUCCGGAAGGCCACACCACGGUGGGGUCAGGGAAGGUUUGUGGUUCCCAGUGAUCUGCUGCUCUCCCUGCAGGAGGAGGUCACUGCUCCACCCCCCCACGGACAGCAAGCACAGUCAUGUGACUUGCUUAGGCAACAGAAUGUGAGCUAAAGUGAGGUCAGCUGAUUCCCAGCAGAAGUUCUGAGCCUGAGAAGUUCUUGCUUCAUCCAUGGUUCUUCUUCAGUCACAAUAACUGCCUGUCCCAGAGGGUGUUGCUCCUUCGGCCAUGAUCCCAGAUGAUGUCACAUGGAAAAGACCCCCGGCCGACCUGCAGUGCACAUGAAACGUGAGAGAGGAACUGAUCAUGUGAGCCCCAGAGAUGCUGGGCUUGUUUGUUACUGCAGCAAGAUUUAGCAGAAGCUGACAUCGAAAAAAUCAUCACCGAGCCACACCCACAGCCUUUUUUUAUCUUUCUUCUUGAGACAGGGUCUUGCUAAGUUCCUGAGGCUGGCCUCUGUGGGGUCAGCAGGCUUCCCUUCCCCUCCCCUUCCAUGGCGGCUGUAGGGGGGGACUUUCCACCUGAACAAGGAGACCCGAAAUGGCCAGGGCCAGCCUGCUGUCGGCAGCUGCAGGUUAGAUGGCCAAGGCCCUCCCCCUCCAGCUUCCCUUAUGAGCAUGGUUUCUGCCUUUCCCGGGCCGACGUCCCCGGCCCUCACCCUUUUGGGGACCGGUGACCCUUGCCCGGGAGCGUCCCCAAUAAACCUUCUUUUGGGGCCUCCUCUUGUUCUGUGGUCCUGAUUUCGCGCCCUUUCUGCUUUACAUUUGGUGCCGAGACCCGGGAGGAGCUGAAGCCUUCCCCUUGGGGUGGAGGCUGCUCCUCUCCACCACCCGAAGGAACAGGGAUCUCUAGACCAC
This 1043-nucleotide long non-coding RNA is filed under the name Marmota monax (woodchuck). Lineage: Eukaryota; Metazoa; Chordata; Mammalia; Rodentia; Sciuridae. The record is from RNAcentral.